This 495-nucleotide ribosomal RNA is filed under the name uncultured bacterium. Its description in RNAcentral is "partial 16S ribosomal RNA". It matches the Rfam family "Bacterial small subunit ribosomal RNA", at positions 28 to 507 of the family's 1533-position model. The record is from RNAcentral.
GACGAACGCUGGCGGCGUGCCUAAUACAUGCAAGUAGAACGCUGAAGGAGGAGCUUGCUUCUCUGGAUGAGUUGCGAACGGGUGAGCAACGCGUAGGUAACCUGCCUGGUAGCGGGGGAUAACUAUUGGAAACGAUAGCUAAUACCGCAUAAGAGUAGAUGUCGCAUGACAUUUGCUUAAAAGGUGCAAUUGCAUCACUACCAGAUGGACCUGCGUUGUAUUAGCUAGUUGGUGAGGUAACGGCUCACCAAGGCAACGAUACAUAGCCGACCUGAGAGGGGGAUCGGCCACACUGGGACUGAGACACGGCCCAGACUCCUACGGGAGGCAGCAGUAGGGAAUCUUCGGCAAUGGACGGAAGUCUGACCGAGCAACGCCGCGUGAGUGAAGAAGGGUUUCGGAUCGUAAAGCUCUGUUGUAAGAGAAGAACGAGUGUGAGAGUGGAAAGUUCACACUGUGACGGUAUCUUACCAGAAAGGGACGGCUAACUACGUG